This 599-nucleotide ribosomal RNA is filed under the name uncultured bacterium. Its description in RNAcentral is "bacterial SSU rRNA". It matches the Rfam family "Bacterial small subunit ribosomal RNA", at positions 884 to 1482 of the family's 1533-position model. The record is from RNAcentral.
GGUCGCAAGAUUAAAACUCAAAUGAAUUGACGGGGGCCCGCACAAGCAGUGGAGCAUGUGGUUUAAUUCGAUGCAACGCGAAGAACCUUACCAGGCCUUGACAUCCUCGGAACUUUCUAGAAAUAGAUUGGUGCCUUCGGGAACCGAGUGACAGGUGCUGCAUGGCUGUCGUCAGCUCGUGUCGUGAGAUGUUGGGUUAAGUCCCGUAACGAGCGCAACCCUUGUCCUUAGUUGCCAGCACAUAAUGGUGGGAACUCUAAGGAGACUGCCGGUGACAAACCGGAGGAAGGUGGGGACGACGUCAAGUCAUCAUGGCCCUUACGGCCUGGGCUACACACGUGCUACAAUGGCUAGGACAGACGGCUGCAAACCCGCGAGGGGGAGCUAAUCCGACAAACCUAGUCGUAGUCCGGAUCGGAGUCUGCAACUCGACUCCGUGAAGUCGGAAUUGCUAGUAAUCGCGAAUCAGAAUGUCGCGGUGAAUACGUUCCCGGGCCUUGUACACACCGCCCGUCACACCAUGGGAGUGGGUUGCUCCAGAAGUGGUUAGUCUAACCUUCGGGAGGACGAUCACCACGGAGUGAUUCAUGACUGGGGUG